AAAGUUCUCUACACGUUUGAUUGGCAGUCCUAUCAUGCUAGCUGUAAGCUCUUGUAGCUGUAAUUUUUUCAGACACAUACACCUUCUCAAAUAAAUCGGUGUGAUUGUGAUCAGCCAGAUGAAUAUGUGUUUGACUUUGAGUUCCCUUUUCUUUGGCAGCCGUGUCUAUGUUCUCUGCUCAGUAUACUUUUUGAAGAUAGUUUUAUGAACAUGAUCAGGGUAAGGAUUCCUCAAAUUAAGAUGCUGGAGUUCCUUUUCAAGAUCUUGGCCCAAUGAUAGCUAGAGAUGCUCAUGACAUUUCCUGAGAGUCGAGGCAACAUAUCUAGUGUAAUCUCAUAAGGAUCGCGGAUCAAUUCAUGUGUCCCUAUCCUUUAACUUUUGUGCAGG
This 387-nucleotide long non-coding RNA is filed under the name Nicotiana benthamiana. RNAcentral's name for it is "long non-coding RNA (NBEN_LNC035357)". The record is from RNAcentral. Lineage: Eukaryota; Viridiplantae; Streptophyta; Magnoliopsida; Solanales; Solanaceae.